Molecule: long non-coding RNA, 2036 nt
Organism: Rhopalosiphum padi (bird cherry-oat aphid)
Lineage: Eukaryota; Metazoa; Arthropoda; Insecta; Hemiptera; Aphididae
Exons: 2
Source: RefSeq, a predicted model, not a curated record
UAUUAUGCUUUUUUAUCAAUACAAACAAUGAUAAUAUUAUUGAUAAUAAACUUUUCAUUUAUCAAUAUUCAAUAUUAAAACAUUGUUUAUAAUUUGAAUUUGUAGCUGUAUGAUUUUUGCCAUUUUUGGUUUUUAAUUUUUAGUUUAAUGCACAAACGACCGUCGUGAAACUAUAUUGUUUAAUUAUUUGUAUUGUUUUUGGUGCUUAUAAUAAUUUAUACAAUAUGUCACGAGCUGUGCAUAAUGCAUUAUUAAUUGUCGAAGAUAGCGGCAAUUUGUCAGAUUUUGAAGAUGGAAUAGCAGCAUUUAAUGUGUAUGAUAGGAAAAAUAGAUCAUUUCUACCACAUAUUGAUUAUUUAAACUUGUUUGUUGAAUAUGAGUUUGUUAGAUGAUUUUAUUUACUAAAAUUCACUGGAGAUAAAGUUCUAAGCAAAAAGGUGAUUAACUAAAAAAUUCAACUAACAGGUAAGUUGACCUAUCUAUUUACUUACAUAACCAAUAAAAUAUUUUGUAACUGUGUACAUUAUAAAUGUUAGUUUACAUUUAACACUUCAGCACCUACAUGAUAUUUGUUAAUUAUUUGAAUUAAGAUAUCAGCUUACAUUUACGUUUUAGCAUUGAUUUAUAAAAUCAAUGGUUUUAGUACCUAUAUAUUCUUACACCACACAUAGACACAGUAUUCUUAUAUCAUGUAUAUUGUAUAUACUUCAUAUUACAUUAUAAUAUUAAUAUUUAUUUAUCUUUAUUUCUAAAUAUUUCCAUAUACUUUCAAGUAUUGAAUAAAAAUUGUUAGAAAUAUGUAUGUAAAGAUAAAACACCAAAACAAAAUCAAAUAUUAUGUUCUAAAAAAAAAUAUACCAAAUUAGCUUUGUACAGUUUCAAUUUGUAUUUAACAAUACAUUAACAUUAUAUGUUUUGGAAAUAAUUCCAUUUCUCCUAUCAAUGGCGUAUUUAUGUGGGAAGCCCCCACAAAAAAAAAAUAAAGACCUCAAGUUACAAGUUACAUGUCAAUAUUCUAUAAUAUAAUAAUUUGUUUACAGCACUCACACCUACAUUAUUUACAAAUAAACUGAUGCGGGAUAUAAUCAGUAGGAUUAUAAUAUGGGCAAUUACUGUAUUUGUAGAAAAUACUAUUUACUACUAAUUGUUGAACCGUUCAGCGUUUACCAUUGGAUCACUUUUAUUAAUAUUAUUAUUUAUUCUAUCGACUGUUCUUGAUUAUUCAAUUUUGUGUAUUAUGUCAUUCUUGAGUUUUGGCAAAUGCCGAUAAUAAAAUUAUUUCACUAAUAUCCCCCCCCCCAGUAAGUUUUUAAAUAUGUCACUGUCUUCUAUUACAGUGUUUCUCAACAGGUGUGUCGCGACAUAAGUCCAAACGUGUCACGGGAAGUACUAUUAUUGAAUGUAUGAACCUUGUUGACACUAUAUUUACAAAAAUUAAUAGGUAUUACCUAUUCUUAUUUUUAUUGUAUGUCAAAAGUAUGAACAUUUUUAAUAGUGUGUCGCAAUAAUACAAAGGUUGAGAAACACUGUUCUACUGCACAGUUAUUGGUCCCAUUGAGAUUUUUGCUACUGGGAAUUUUUUAAAUAAAUUACAUGACUUCAAUGGUAUUGGCAUAGCAGCUGCUGCUCAAAUGGAAAAAUGAUUCAGUUGCUUCAUUAAGUAAUAAGUAUAUCAGAUUACCUGAAACUUCUGAGAAGAAAAUGGAGCUAUAAAUAUAAUUUUAUGAUUUUAGUUUCCAAAAGCUAUAGGUGCCAUAGUUAGGUGUAUGUAUUCAGUGGCAGAGCCAAGGGGGGAUAAAGGGCUAAUAAAGUUAAUGUAAAGUUAAAAGUAUUUAGCUCCCCCCUAUAAAAAAAUCCUGGUUACACCUCUAUGUGUAUUCUUUGUUAACGGUUGUUUUAUUUACCAGUUAAUGAAUGUAGUUUGCUUAUCUAUGUUUUUGUUUUAUAUUAUUUUCAUAAUAUAUGUUCUGCUAUAAUUAAAGUGGUAUAAGUUUAUAAUUAUUAUAACUAUAAUAAAUUUAAUUUAUCAAACAUGC